GACGAACGCUGGCGGCGUGCUUAACACAUGCAAGUCGAACGGAAAGGCCCUGCUUUUGUGGGUUGCUCGAGUGGCGAACGGGUGAGUAACACGUGAGUAACCUGCCCUUGACUUUGGGAUAACUUCAGGAAACUGGGGCUAAUACCGGAUAGGAGCUCCUGCUGCAUGGUGGGGGUUGGAAAGUUUCGGCGGUUGGGGAUGGACUCGCGGGUUAUCAGCUUGUUUGUGAGGUAGUGGCUUACCAAGGCUUUGACGGGUAGCCGGCCUGAGAGGGUGAACGGGCACAUUGGGACUGAGAUACGGCCCAGUCUGCUACGGGAGGCAGCAGGGGGGAAUAUUGCACAAUGGGCGGAGGCCUGAUGCAGCAACGCCGCGUGCGGGAUGACGGCCUUCGGGUUGUAAACCGCUUUCGCCUGUGACGAAGAGUGAGUGACGGUAAUGGGUAAAGAAGCACCGGCUAACUACGUG
RNAcentral lists this ribosomal RNA (468 nucleotides) under uncultured bacterium. Its description in RNAcentral is "partial 16S ribosomal RNA". It matches the Rfam family "Bacterial small subunit ribosomal RNA", at positions 28 to 507 of the family's 1533-position model. The record is from RNAcentral.